This 1487-nucleotide ribosomal RNA is filed under the name uncultured bacterium. RNAcentral's name for it is "bacterial SSU rRNA". It matches the Rfam family "Bacterial small subunit ribosomal RNA". The record is from RNAcentral.
AGAGUUUGAUCCUGGCUCAGGAUGAACGCUGGCGGCGUGCUUAACACAUGCAAGUCGAACGGUGAAGCCCAGCUUGCUGGGUGGAUCAGUGGCGAACGGGUGAGUAACACGUGAGCAACCUGCCCCUGACUCUGGGAUAAGCGCUGGAAACGGCGUCUAAUACUGGAUAUGUGACGUGACCGCAUGGUCUGCGUCUGGAAAGAAUUUCGGUUGGGGAUGGGCUCGCGGCCUAUCAGCUUGUUGGUGAGGUAAUGGCUCACCAAGGCGUCGACGGGUAGCCGGCCUGAGAGGGUGACCGGCCACACUGGGACUGAGACACGGCCCAGACUCCUACGGGAGGCAGCAGUGGGGAAUAUUGCACAAUGGGCGCAAGCCUGAUGCAGCAACGCCGCGUGAGGGAUGACGGCCUUCGGGUUGUAAACCUCUUUUAGCAGGGAAGAAGCGAAAGUGACGGUACCUGCAGAAAAAGCGCCGGCUAACUACGUGCCAGCAGCCGCGGUAAUACGUAGGGCGCAAGCGUUAUCCGGAAUUAUUGGGCGUAAAGAGCUCGUAGGCGGUUUGUCGCGUCUGCUGUGAAAUCCCGAGGCUCAACCUCGGGCCUGCAGUGGGUACGGGCAGACUAGAGUGCGGUAGGGGAGAUUGGAAUUCCUGGUGUAGCGGUGGAAUGCGCAGAUAUCAGGAGGAACACCGAUGGCGAAGGCAGAUCUCUGGGCCGUAACUGACGCUGAGGAGCGAAAGGGUGGGGAGCAAACAGGCUUAGAUACCCUGGUAGUCCACCCCGUAAACGUUGGGAACUAGUUGUGGGGUUCAUUCCACGGAUUCCGUGACGCAGCUAACGCAUUAAGUUCCCCGCCUGGGGAGUACGGCCGCAAGGCUAAAACUCAAAGGAAUUGACGGGGACCCGCACAAGCGGCGGAGCAUGCGGAUUAAUUCGAUGCAACGCGAAGAACCUUACCAAGGCUUGACAUAUACGAGAACGGGCCAGAAAUGGUCAACUCUUUGGACACUCGUAAACAGGUGGUGCAUGGUUGUCGUCAGCUCGUGUCGUGAGAUGUUGGGUUAAGUCCCGCAACGAGCGCAACCCUCGUUCUAUGUUGCCAGCACGUAAUGGUGGGAACUCAUGGGAUACUGCCGGGGUCAACUCGGAGGAAGGUGGGGAUGACGUCAAAUCAUCAUGCCCCUUAUGUCUUGGGCUUCACGCAUGCUACAAUGGCCGGUACAAAGGGCUGCAAUACCGUGAGGUGGAGCGAAUCCCAAAAAGCCGGUCCCAGUUCGGAUUGAGGUCUGCAACUCGACCUCAUGAAGUCGGAGUCGCUAGUAAUCGCAGAUCAGCAACGCUGCGGUGAAUACGUUCCCGGGUCUUGUACACACCGCCCGUCAAGUCAUGAAAGUCGGUAACACCUGAAGCCGGUGGCCUGACCUUUUUGGAGGGAGCCGUCGAAGGUGGGAUUGGUAAUUAGGACUAAGUCGUAACAAGGUAACCGUAA